CCCUACGGGGCGCAGCAGUGGGGAAUAUUGCACAAUGGGGGAAACCCUGAUGCAGCGACGCCGCGUGAGCGAAGAAGUAUUUCGGUAUGUAAAGCUCUAUCAGCAGGGAAGAAAAUGACGGUACCUGAGUAAGAAGCUCCGGCUAAAUACGUGCCAGCAGCCGCGGUAAUACGUAUGGAGCAAGCGUUAUCCGGAUUUACUGGGUGUAAAGGGAGCGCAGGCGGUCUGGCAAGUCUGAUGUGAAAUAUCGGGG
This 253-nucleotide ribosomal RNA is filed under the name uncultured bacterium. RNAcentral describes it as "partial 16S ribosomal RNA". It matches the Rfam family "Bacterial small subunit ribosomal RNA", at positions 337 to 607 of the family's 1533-position model. The record is from RNAcentral.